Molecule: ribosomal RNA, 1254 nt
Filed under: Triticum aestivum (bread wheat)
Lineage: Eukaryota; Viridiplantae; Streptophyta; Magnoliopsida; Poales; Poaceae
Description: partial small subunit ribosomal RNA
Source: RNAcentral
AUGGACUCGCUUCUUGCCACCUACGCCUCUUCCGACGAAGACGCCGACGAGAGCAUCCCCACACCCGCUCCCGCGACCCGCCGCAGCGAGGCCAGCGGAAAGCCCGCCGGCAGCAUCUUCUCCGCGCUCCCGCAACCCAAGUCGGCGCCUAUCUUCUCCUCACUCCCGGCGCCGAAAUCCGCCCCGACCUUCUCCUCCACCCCGCCUCCCAAAUCCUCCGCUUCCUCCGGAAACCCUAAGCGCGUCGUCCAGUUCCGCCCGCCGCCGAUCCGCCAGACCACCGGGGUCAGCUCGGACGAGGAGGAUGACGCCGAGAAGCGCCGUCCCAGCGCUAGCGAGGCGCCCCCGCCCCCGUCUGCUGGAUCGGGGCCGGUGUCUUCGUUCCUCCCGGCGCCCAGGCACUCGCUUGGCUUCGGCUCCGGCGCGGCCAGGAGGUCGGCCGUAGACACCGCCGGGCCGGAGAGGUCAAAUCUUGGUGCUGCUGGCCCCUCUAGCUCGGCUGUCAACAGAGGAGCGCCAGAAAGGUCCGAUACUGGCCCUGCGGACGAGGACGAUCCUGAGGAAAGCAGCGAUGAGGACGGCAUGCCUGCUCCGGAGCAGCAGCAAGAACAACAGGAUCUUGGUGCUGGAGCUGGAGACGUCCAACACCAGGGCUAUGAUGCUGGAGUUGGAAACGCUAAUGGGUACGAAGGCUAUGCAUGGGAUCCAAACUAUUAUGCAUAUUAUGGUUUGGAUCCGAAUAGCAAUUUGAAUUAUGGGGCUGAACCACAGUAUGCAGCAUAUGGAGUAGAGCAAGGUGGUGGGUAUGCAAAUGGAUAUGGCGGGGAGCACAGUGGUGGAUACGAGCAUUCGACAGCGCCUCCAUGUGGAGGGGAAUAUACUGGAGGUUACAGUGCUGAGGCUGUGGCAAUGGCAGCGCCACCAAUGCCGGAGCCGGCACUGCCACCAGAAUUGGGCAGGAUUGGAGUGAAGAGAGGUAGGAGGGAUAUGCCUAUGGAGAUUAUAGAGGUGAAUCAGGCAGAACUGGUCAAGAACCGUCCGAGGGAGGACAAAUCCAAGCUCACGGGGAUGGCCUUUGGUCCUAGUUACCAGGCCGCCCCUUCGGGGAAGGGAAAGCCCUCCAAGCUGCAGAAGAGAAAGCAUCAGAUCGGUUCUCUCUUCUACGACCUGAAGCAGAAGGAGAUGGAGCUUACCGAGAGGCGUGCCAAGGGCUUCCUCACGAAAGCGGAGACUCAAGCAAAAUAUGGGUGGUGA